UGGGGAAUAUUGCACAAUGGGCGGAAGCCUGAUGCAGCGACGCCGCGUGAGGGACGAAGGUCUUCGGAUUGUAAACCUCUUUCAGCAGGGACGAAGCGAAAGUGACUGUACCUGCAGAAGAAGCACCGGCUAACUACGUGCCAGCAGCCGCGGUAAUACGUAGGGUGCAAGCGUUGUCCGGAUUUAUUGGGCGUAAAGAGCUCGUAGGCGGUUCGUCACGUCGGAUGUGAAAACCUGGGGCUUAACCCCGGGCCUGCAUACGAUACGGGCGAACUAGAGUUCGGUAGGGNGGACUGGAAUUCCUGGUGUAGCGGUGAGAUGCGCAGAUAUCAGGAGGAACACCGGUGGCGAAGGCGGGUCUCUGGGCCGAUACUGACGCUGAGGAGCGAAAGCGUGGGGAGCAAACA
This 407-nucleotide ribosomal RNA is filed under the name uncultured bacterium. RNAcentral's name for it is "bacterial SSU rRNA". It matches the Rfam family "Bacterial small subunit ribosomal RNA", at positions 355 to 774 of the family's 1533-position model. The record is from RNAcentral.